AUUGAACGCUGGCGGCAGGCCUAACACACGCAAGUCGAGCGGAUGAAGGGAGCUUGCUCCUGGAUUCAGCGGCGGACGGGUGAGUAAUGCCUAGGAAUCUGCCUGGUAGUGGGGGAUAACGUCCGGAAACGGGCGCUAAUACCGCAUACGUCCUGAGGGAGAAAGUGGGGGAUAUUCGGACCUCACGCUAUCAGAUGAGCCUAGGUCGGAUUAGCUAGUUGGUGGGGUAAAGGCCUACCAAGGCGACGAUCCGUAACUGGUCUGAGAGGAUGAUCAGUCACACUGGAACUGAGACACGGUCCAGACUCCUACGGGAGGCAGCAGUGGGGAAUAUUGGACAAUGGGCGAAAGCCUGAUCCAGCCAUGCCGCGUGUGUGAAGAAGGUCUUCGGAUUGUAAAGCACUUUAAGUUGGGAGGAAGGGCAGUAAGUUAAUACCUUGCUGUUUUGACGUUACCAACAGAAUAAGCACCGGCUAACUUCGUG
Molecule: ribosomal RNA, 484 nt
Filed under: uncultured bacterium
Lineage: Bacteria
Description: partial 16S ribosomal RNA
Rfam family: Bacterial small subunit ribosomal RNA
Source: RNAcentral